This is a long non-coding RNA of Amphimedon queenslandica, 194 nucleotides long. RefSeq lists it as uncharacterized. The transcript is spliced from 2 exons. The record is from RefSeq and is a predicted model, not a curated record. NCBI's taxonomy places the organism in Eukaryota, Metazoa, Porifera, Demospongiae, Haplosclerida, Niphatidae.
CUGCUGCUACUGUUUUAUUCAGGCCACCUGUAUACCAGCAACGUUAUGGAGCCGUACUGGAACUAUCUAGAAAAACAGAACCAAAGAAAGUAAUAGACAUGGGUUGUGCUGAAUGCAAGCUUCUCAGAUCAUUAAAGUUUCACAGACACAUUGAAUCACUUAUCGGUAUUGAUAUAAAUGAGUCUUUACUUCAA